Molecule: ribosomal RNA, 492 nt
Filed under: uncultured bacterium
Lineage: Bacteria
Description: partial 16S ribosomal RNA
Rfam family: Bacterial small subunit ribosomal RNA
Source: RNAcentral
AGUGAACGCUGGCGGUAGGCCUAACACAUGCAAGUCGAACGGCAGCACAGUAAGAGCUUGCUCUUACGGGUGGCGAGUGGCGGACGGGUGAGGAAUACAUCGGAAUCUACUUUUUCGUGGGGGAUAACGUAGGGAAACUUACGCUAAUACCGCAUACGACCUACGGGUGAAAGCAGAGGAUCUUCGGACCUUGCGCGAUUGAAUGAGCCGAUGUCGGAUUAGCUAGUUGGCGGGGUAAAGGCUCACCAAGGCGACGAUCCGUAGCUGGUCUGAGAGGAUGAUCAGCCACACUGGAACUGAGACACGGUCCAGACUCCUACGGGAGGCAGCAGUGGGGAAUAUUGCACAAUGGGCGCAAGCCUGAUCCAGCCAUACCGCGUGAGUGAAGAAGGCCUUCGGGUUGUAAAGCCCUUUUGUUGGGAAAGAAAAGCAGCAGGUUAAUCCCCCGCUGUUCUGACGGUACCCAAAGAAUAAGCACCGGCUAACUUCGUG